ACUCAGCUGACGAGUCCUAAGUAUGACGAAACGUGAGUCCUGGAU
Molecule: non-coding RNA, 45 nt
Filed under: Schistosoma bovis
Lineage: Eukaryota; Metazoa; Platyhelminthes; Trematoda; Strigeidida; Schistosomatidae
Also listed under: 1 other name
Source: RNAcentral